This 23-nucleotide non-coding RNA is filed under the name Arabidopsis thaliana (thale cress). Lineage: Eukaryota; Viridiplantae; Streptophyta; Magnoliopsida; Brassicales; Brassicaceae. The record is from RNAcentral.
GUCCAGCGAUCCAGAUAGCUGUG